RNAcentral lists this ribosomal RNA (482 nucleotides) under uncultured bacterium. Its description in RNAcentral is "partial 16S ribosomal RNA". It matches the Rfam family "Bacterial small subunit ribosomal RNA", at positions 355 to 829 of the family's 1533-position model. The record is from RNAcentral.
UGGGGAAUUUUGGACAAUGGGCGCGAGCCUGAUCCAGCAAUGCCGCGUGCAGGAUGAAGGCCUUCGGGUUGUAAACUGCUUUUGUACGGAACGAAAAGCCUCUCUCUAAUACAGGGGGGUGAUGACGGUACCGUAAGAAUAAGCACCGGCUAACUACGUGCCAGCAGCCGCGGUAAUACGUAGGGUGCAAGCGUUAAUCGGAAUUACUGGGCGUAAAGCGUGCGCAGGCGGUUUUGUAAGACAGUGGUGAAAUCCCCGGGCUCAACCUGGGAACUGCCAUUGUGACUGCAAGGCUGGAGUGCGGCAGAGGGGGAUGGAAUUCCGCGUGUAGCAGUGAAAUGCGUAGAUAUGCGGAGGAACACCGAUGGCGAAGGCAAUCCCCUGGGCCUGCACUGACGCUCAUGCACGAAAGCGUGGGGAGCAAACAGGAUUAGAUACCCCGGUAGUCCACGCCCUAAACGAUGUCAACUGGUUGUUGGGGA